AAUCUUCCGCAAUGGACGAAAGUCUGACGGAGCAACGCCGCGUGAGUGAUGAAGGUCNNNGGAUCNUCAAACUCUGUUGUUAGNGACNAACAAGUAUCGUUCGAAUAGGGCGGUACCUUGACGGUACCUAACCAGAAAGCCACGGCUAACUACGAGCCAGCAGCCGCGGUAAUACGUAGGUGGCAAGCGUUAUCCGGAAUUAUUGGGCGUAAAGCGCGCGCAGGCGGUCUUUUAAGUCUGAUGUGAAAUCUUACAGCUUAACUGUAAGCGGUCAUUGGAAACUGGGAGACUUGAGUGCAGAAGAGGAGAGUGGAAUUCCAUGUGUAGCGGUGAAAUGCGUAGAGAUAUGGAGGAACACCAGUGGCGAAGGCGACUCUCUGGUCUGUAACUGACGCUGAGGCGCGAAAGCGUGGGGAUCAAACA
This 423-nucleotide ribosomal RNA is filed under the name uncultured bacterium. Its description in RNAcentral is "partial 16S ribosomal RNA". It matches the Rfam family "Bacterial small subunit ribosomal RNA", at positions 360 to 774 of the family's 1533-position model. The record is from RNAcentral.